RNAcentral lists this long non-coding RNA (762 nucleotides) under Olea europaea subsp. europaea. The record is from RNAcentral. Lineage: Eukaryota; Viridiplantae; Streptophyta; Magnoliopsida; Lamiales; Oleaceae.
CAGAAGACUAAAGACUGAAGUCUAGUUUCUGUAAUCCGUAGUGGCGGAAUCCAAGCUUGCAUUCAUCACUCAUCAAUUCUUCUUUUCUUUUUUUUUCCUUUUCUUUUCUUUUUUUACUUCAAAUUUGUUGCAAAAUUGCAGAUCAACAUACCGUUCUUCAAAUUAAGCAAAGACCCAUUUCUGAUUCUCGGUCAGGUACUUUUUAAAUUUUAAUUUUUAUCAUAACAUACACAAACACAGGUAUACCGACACCGACUGGCGACUGCAAUAUGUAAAUCUGUAAUAUGCUCAUGAUUUUGAAUUGAGAAAGUGAAACUUAGAGAUUUCGAGGUAAUGGCAUUAGUUGUUUAAUUCUUGUUAAGAUUUUUUUUUGCUUUAUUUAUGUGAAGAAGAUUUUGGGUAUUUUAAUCUUAAAACCCCAAUAAAAACGAAAGUCAUGGAAAGAUUUUCAAGGAAUCAAGGGUUUUCAGUUUCCUAAAAUAAAUGGAAACCAACCUCCGAAUUUGCGAGACCUUAGGAGUUUGUAAAGUGCGAACUCUCUAUGUGCGAACGUGCUGAAGCAGCUCAACCUCUGGUCCUCUGGAUUUCGUCGGAACUUUUGCAGUGGUAGACUAGUAGAGUAAUGGUUUUUGGAGAUUAAUUCCGGAUUGGAGUAGGUUUUAGGGAUAAAUUCUGGAUUGGAAUGUGUUCUCAGGUCUGGAGAGUGGAGAAGGCAAUUGGAAUGCAAUUGGAAAUGGCUGUUCGUUUGCCUCUUUCAUGUGC